GAUGAACGCUGGCGGCGUGCCUAAUACAUGCAAGUCGAGCGAACAGACGAGGAGCUUGCUCCUCUGACGUUAGCGGCGGACGGGUGAGUAACACGUGGAUAACCUACCUAUAAGACUGGGAUAACUUCGGGAAACCGGAGCUAAUACCGGAUAAUAUAUUGAACCGCAUGGUUCAAUAGUGAAAGACGGUUUUGCUGUCACUUAUAGAUGGAUCCGCGCCGCAUUAGCUAGUUGGUAAGGUAACGGCUUACCAAGGCAACGAUGCGUAGCCGACCUGAGAGGGUGGUCGGCCACACUGGAACUGAGACACGGUCCAGACUCCUACGGGAGGCAGCAGUAGGGAAUCUUACGCAAUGGGCGAAAGCUUGACGGAGCAACGCCGCGUGAGUGAUGAAGGUCUUCGGAUCGUAAAACUCUGUUAUUAGGGAAGAACAAAUGUGUAAGUAACUAUGCACGUCUUGACGGUACCUAAUCAGAAAGCCACGGCUAACUACGUG
RNAcentral lists this ribosomal RNA (497 nucleotides) under uncultured bacterium. RNAcentral's name for it is "partial 16S ribosomal RNA". It matches the Rfam family "Bacterial small subunit ribosomal RNA", at positions 28 to 507 of the family's 1533-position model. The record is from RNAcentral.